Gasterosteus aculeatus aculeatus (three-spined stickleback) is the source of this 2626-nucleotide non-coding RNA. NCBI's taxonomy places the organism in Eukaryota, Metazoa, Chordata, Actinopteri, Perciformes, Gasterosteidae. The record is from RefSeq and is a predicted model, not a curated record.
AUUGGCUGAUGUGGUCACUUGUUUUAAGGGAUGAAUGAAAUGAAACCUGGAACAUUAAGAACAUUUAGAAUAAGAAAGUUGAGCCACACCAUCAGUUAAUUUCUCCUUCAUCUACUGGUGGGGGAUUAUCUGGAGGAAAUGAUGACGACCGCCCGUGUUCAUUGUGGAUCUGUGGGUUAUAUCUGAUCACGGGACUUUCCCCCCGAUGGCUUCGUGUCCUUUACUUCCUGCGUCCUCAGCAGACAGCAGGAGGGCGUCAGCGUGCCGGUGCGUCGCGCCGUAGCAGCACAUCAUUACUGGUAGUGGUUCUGUGGUACCAGUAUGAUAUGUGCUGCUGCCCCCAGACGCACAAUCCUCUUCAUCAGCAGACACUCAUCAUCACGUGUUGACAUGUAUGACCAUGAAUAAAAGCCCAAUAUUUAAAAACGAAGACGUCGGCUCCUUCUUUGUACCUGACAAUUGGAUCUCAAACUGGACCAAGGAGACUUUCAUCCUCAAGGUUUCUUCUCGCGUGAGGAACGGAAGGAAGAACUCUCCAAGUAUUGAGGGGAAAAGGAAGAAACCGUUAAGAUCUACUUACUCUACCAGGACACGUCUCCGGGUCUUUGUCAGCAGAUGUAAAGUACUCUACAGUGAACGGGGAAUCAGGCAAUCAACGGUUUCUACACCACAAAAUUAUCAAACAAAAAAGCUGAACAUUAGCGUCAAACAGUGUUUGUGCCCACACGUUACAGAAGGUAUUUCUGUAAAUGCUGCUCAAUUAAAACCAUUUGAAACUAAUAUCAUACAUGGCCUACAUCCUUCAUAUACCAUAAUGUGUGUAAUUAUGUCAAUGAACACAUUCAAAAGAAGACGUCGGGAAACACAGGUAUUUUGUGUUGGUAUAAACUUAAACGAUGAUUCAAAUGUGUGAGUCUAAUGUCACAAAGACAUCAAAUACAACGUGCAGAAAUACCCAAAUAUUUUUUUUGGUGUCCUACUACAAUGAGAUUUUACUUAUUAAUUUUAGUCGACAUGUCGCGUUUGAACUAUAGGGUUGUAACCAUGCCAACACUAUACCAUGAAUUAAUUUCAGGUAUCACCUGUGGGCUAUUUAAAACGAAGAACUAAAUCAUAUCGUUUUACAUUUCUAAUUUGAUAUGCACGUCCAGUUAACUAUGGGCUUUUAUUAUUACAGUUGCUAUGGAAACUAUAUGAACCACAGCGAAUGCUUUCAGAAAGAUAUGAACCCAUAGAGGAUUUCCAAAAAUGUAUUAACCGUGAUUAAUACAUUACAAGUGAUUAGGGGAGAAUUGGACAUUAGUAUAUUUUACUGUUUAUGUUGUAGUUUCAGAUUGGACUUUGAUGUUACUGAAACUUUGCAACAUCAUAUUAGAAUUAAAGGUUCUACCUGAGUUAAAUAUAUAGUACAGGGUGCCGAGAAGGCCCCGCUUACCUUUCACUUUUGAAAUGAAAAAAUGUUUGUUGAAAUAAAUUUGAACGCAGGACAUUUAAUAAUUUGAUAAUAGUUUCCCUUUGUAUGGAAAACACCAACAUUCCUGGUUAGAGAAAGAAUAAACUAAAGUACCAAAGUCUCAUUAAACCACAUUCAUUGGUUCAUUGCGGCACACUUUACCGCAAGGUGGGCAGCUGCUUGUGGGCCCCAAACAGGCGUUUAGAUAUUUCACAUUUUGUAACGAUGCCGAGAUGUUUCCUACGUCUCAUCUCAUCUUUAACUGCUUAUCUGUGGUCGGGUCGCCGGGUGUUUCCUAGUCGUUUACAAAAGGGCCCGUACUCACUCUAAGAAGAAUUUUAAUGCACGACUUCAACCUUCGUUUAUAGGUUUUACUUCAAAACAGCAAUUAGCGUUAGUUAGCCAGCGUAUCGCAAUGCAGCAGCGAAGGAGGCGGUCAAUGGGCCGCUGCCAACGACACACUAAACAGUGCGCUGUAUUCACUGUGUUAAUAUCUUUCUGAAGACAAGGAGGCAAGUUAUCUCAAGUUACCAUCUCUCAGAAAUGAGUAUUAUUAAUAAUUUGAAGUGCACUUGUAUGAGGUUCUUCUCAGGCGUCAGUGUGAUGUAGUUUGAAGAAACAGGAGUUCCAGCAUGUGAGCAAAGUCAUGUAAAAAUGUGCUUACACACCGUAAAAUGUCACAAAAAGCCCCGUUACUGCAAUGAAAAGUGGAUCAGAUUUCUAUUGUCUUUUCUACUCCAACACAUUUUAAUGGCAGGUUAAGAGGAAGGAAGGAAUUCAUCAAAUUCCUACAUUAAAAAUAUACCAGAAGCAAUCAGGUUUUUUGUUCUAAAUACUCUAAUAACUAGUGCAAUAGGUUUGACCUAAACAGAAUCAGUUGAAUCAAACUUUUGCACAACUGAAUUGAACAUGAAAUGGAGUAAAAUGUUUUACACAGUUCAGACAAAGACCUGCCUCUCCAUCGGGUGCAUCAGGAAGAAAGGCGUCAUUCCUCUGCAGCGUUCUGUUGGUUUUCCUGACUUUUUAAAAAAACACAGGAAGUACCUGUGUUGGAAGGCCUCCCUUGCUGUUCUGGGUCUUUUGGGAUUUUCUGGACGUACCCACAUCUAAACUCAAUAAGGAGAGGGAAUGUUCUCAAUUAAAAAAAGAUUGCAGUAAAAAAAAAAAAAAAAA